CAUCCACUUCACCGUACCCUCCACGAUUGGUCCCCGACUUAUAAAACUCGGAGAAAGCAGAGUACUGAGUCAGGAGGUGACCCAGCUCCCGCGUUGGAUGUAAACAGAGAAGUGGACAUGAUAAAUCUCAAGUUUGCAGAAGCAAGAGAGGAGAUACAGAUGGCAAUGGAGUCAAAAGAGACUGUGUAUUUCAAUGAAGAGGCAGAGUGUGCACGGACUGCGGUGAAAGAAGUGCUGGACAUGUUUGAGGG
RNAcentral lists this unclassified non-coding RNA (251 nucleotides) under Hevea brasiliensis (rubber tree). The record is from RNAcentral. Lineage: Eukaryota; Viridiplantae; Streptophyta; Magnoliopsida; Malpighiales; Euphorbiaceae.